AAGUUCAAAGUUUAAAAUCAUGCCUUAUUUCUUUAUAUACGAGUCAAAACCGAUGGUGCGUUUCAUUUUCAUGUUAAUCUUCAGGUAAAAAAUGAACAAAAAGCGAAAUCCAAAAUUUAUUAUGUUAGGAUGAAGAUAGGAUGAUCCUAAGACACCUAAUUAGGUGUCCUAAAGUUAGGACGAAAACUGCGAUAUAUCGUAAAUUAGGAGAGCUUCGAGAACACGACUUAG
RNAcentral lists this long non-coding RNA (231 nucleotides) under Mytilus galloprovincialis (Mediterranean mussel). The record is from RNAcentral. Lineage: Eukaryota; Metazoa; Mollusca; Bivalvia; Mytilida; Mytilidae.